AUCCAGCUGACGAGUCCCGAAUAGGACGAAAUGCGCGUCCUAGAU
Molecule: non-coding RNA, 45 nt
Filed under: Trichobilharzia regenti
Lineage: Eukaryota; Metazoa; Platyhelminthes; Trematoda; Strigeidida; Schistosomatidae
Source: RNAcentral